RNAcentral lists this ribosomal RNA (497 nucleotides) under uncultured bacterium. RNAcentral describes it as "partial 16S ribosomal RNA". It matches the Rfam family "Bacterial small subunit ribosomal RNA", at positions 28 to 507 of the family's 1533-position model. The record is from RNAcentral.
GAUGAACGCUGGCGGCGUGCCUAAUACAUGCAAGUCGAGCGAACAGACGAGGAGCUUGCCCCUCUGACGUUAGCGGCGGACGGGUGAGUAACACGUGGAUAACCUACCUAUAAGACUGGGAUAACUUCGGGAAACCGGAGCUAAUACCGGAUAAUAUAUUGAACCGCAUGGUUCAAUAGUGAAAGACGGUUUUGCUGUCACUUAUAGAUGAAUCCGCGCCGCAUUAGCUAGUUGGUAAGGUAACGGCUUACCAAGGCAACGAUGCGUAGCCGACCUGAGAGGGUGAUCGGCCACACUGGAACUGAGACACGGUCCAGACUCCUACGGGAGGCAGCAGUAGGGAAUCUUCCGCAAUGGGCGAAAGCCUGACGGAGCAACGCCGCGUGAGUGAUGAAGGUCUUCGGAUCGUAAAACUCUGUUAUUAGGGAAGAACAAAUGUGUAAGUAACUAUGCACGUCUUGACGGUACCUAAUCAGAAAGCCACGGCUAACUACGUG